Molecule: ribosomal RNA, 459 nt
Filed under: uncultured bacterium
Lineage: Bacteria
Description: partial 16S ribosomal RNA
Rfam family: Bacterial small subunit ribosomal RNA
Source: RNAcentral
CCUACGGUGGGCAGCAGUGCGGAAUAUUGGUCAAUGGACGAGAGUCUGAACCAGCCAAGUAGCGUGAAGGAUGACUGCCCUAUGGGUUGUAAACUUCUUUUAUAUGGGAAUAAAAUGUUCCACGUGUGGGAUUUUGUAUGUACCAUAUGAAUACGGAUCGGCUAACUCCGUGCAAGCAGCCGCGGUAAUACGGAGGAUGCGAGGGUUAUCCGGCUUUAUUGGGUUAAAGGGGUGCGUAGGCGGAUUUUUAAGUUAGCGGGAAAAUGGCCGGGCUCAACCCGGGCCGGCCGUUGAAGCUGGGGAUCUUGAGUGGGCGAGAAGUAUGCGGAAUGCGUGGUGUAGCGGUGAAAUGCAUAGAUAUCACGCAGAACUCCGAUUGCGAAGGCAGCAUACCGGCGCCCGACUGACGCUGAGGCACGAAAGCGUGGGGAUCGAACAGGAUUAGAUACCCUUGUAGUC